UGUGAUAAUCUCAGUUACUUGGAUAACUGCGGUAAUUCUGGAGCUAAUACAUGCGCACAAGCCCCGACUUACGUAGGGGUGCUUUUAUUAGAUCAAAACCAAACGGCUCACGCCGUCUUUCUGGUGAUUCUGAAUAACUUUGGGCUGAUCGCAUGGCCUCGCGCCGGCGACGUAUCCUUCCAAGGUGUGCCCUAUCAACUGUCGACUGUGGCAUAGACGCCCACAGUGGUUUUGACGGGUAACGGGGAAUUAGGGUUCGAUUCCGGAGAGGGAGCCUGAAAAACGGCUACCACUUCUACGGAAGGCAGCAGGCACGCAAAUUACCCACUGGUCGAAGACCGAGGUAGUGACGAAAAAUAACGAUACCGGACUCAUCCGAGGCCCGGUAAUCGGAAUGAGAACACUUUAAAUCCUUUACCGAGGAACAAUUGGAGGGCAAGUCUGGU
This 446-nucleotide ribosomal RNA is filed under the name uncultured marine eukaryote. RNAcentral's name for it is "SSU rRNA". It matches the Rfam family "Eukaryotic small subunit ribosomal RNA", at positions 120 to 565 of the family's 1831-position model. The record is from RNAcentral.